GCAUCCGCUCUUCCUUUAGCUGGGCGUCGCGCCGGCGCACCCCAGUGGCCGCUCGGGUCUGGGGUUUGCGGGAAGCGGAGACGCGGGGCUGUCUCGUCCCACUCACAGCGCGUCCGUACGGGUGUGCUGCUUCGCGCCCGGGCAGGUUGCAGGCAGGAGAAGGCUUUGUAUGUGCUGAAAUAUCUUCCGCUCUAUUGAGAGCAACUCACAAGAGUCAUUUGAAAAUUAAAAUUUGAUGCUUUACAUCCGGAGGAGACGGAGUGUGCCUUCUGCUGAGGUUUCAUGAGUCAGACUGGGCUGUUGGCAGUUUGUUCUGAAGAUGUACAUGUUGGUUGAAAACCGCACGAGUUCCUAUCUUCAUCUGAAGAGGUCACCUGGCAUCCGAUCUUGGUCUCUCUUUGUUGGAAUAGCCUCCAUAGGUUUGGCUGCUGCUUAUUACAGUGCAGACAGCUUGGCAUGGAAGCUCUUCUAUAUGGCUGGGUGUUUCUUUGUGGCAGCACAGAAUCUGGAGCAGUGGGAGGAAGCUGUAUUUGAUAAGAACAAGGGAACAGUCUGCCUAAAAACAUUCAACCUUUACAAAAAAAUACUGACCUUCUCAAAAGGAGGCAAUGAACAAGUAGUGGCUCUGCUGCACGAGAUCCGAGAUGUGAACGUGGAAGAGGAGGUUGUGCGGUAUUUUGGGAAGGGUUACCUGGUUGUGCUACGAUUUGCCACUGGAUUUUCACACCCGCUGACUCAGAGUGCAGUGCUGGGCUGUAGAAGUGAUGUGGAAGCAGUUGCCAAGCUCCUUACUAGUUUUCUGGGACUGGACAGAGUAGAGAGCCAAGAAGACCUCUCUCAGAGCAGCGAAACAGAGGGUAGUGAUGCAGAUGAACCACAGGAUAAAUAUUAAUAGUCGUCAGGAGCUGAAGAAAGCAGAGGCUUUCAAACAUCUGGAAAAUAUACUGAUUGCUCUUCAGAAAAAGAAAUCUCUCACAGUCUUUACCUGGGCAUUUCUCUACGUGUGUGUGUGCAACAGGAGGAAUCUGUCUUAGGACACCUUUUUUAGGCUAAACUGCUUCAAGAUCCGCUCUCUCAGCAUUGCUGUUGUAGAGUCCAAAGCAAAUUCCGGUUUAUUUGUUCCUUUGCCUUAGUUCCUGCAUGUGGACACUGGCUUUUGAGCUUUGUUAGCUCAUCCAACUUGUCUAAGAACAGUUAUUUAUUAAUUAAUGGGUUUGAAAUCAUUUAUUGCUUUCCCAUUAAUGAAGUGGAGAUACAGAUGCAAACAUCUGCUGCAGGUACAGUAUAUGAAAUGGAGAAGAGCUGAAUUUGAAAUCAACACAAUGCUUUGAGGUUUUUCUCAAAAUGUUAUAAAUGACUGAAUAUAUGGCUAAAUUGGUUUUAAGCAGCUUAAUAUAUGCAAUUAGGUGAUGCAGGAUAGUGGCACUUUUGUAUUCUCUACUACUGACCUGCCGCUAAGAUACCAGUGAAGUUAAAGUUGGAGUGACUGUCUUGGAAUUGGAAACAACAGGCUGAUCGCCCUGUUACAGUCUGACUUCUCUUGGACUUCCCAGGGAGCUGUAAACAAAAACUGAUCAUGUUGAUGAUUCAACAUCUAAGGGUACCUUAAUCCUGUUCUGCUUAACUUCUGGGCAUAGAUUGCCCCAAGAUAAAGAAGCUUUUUCUAGACCUCAGCAGUUACUAUUUUAACAGUGUAUUUAGAAAGGAAGAAAAGCACAUGUUAGUUUAGGUUGGGAGAAGACUGAUGUCAAACUAUGUGGCAGCCUAGAUUUGUUUAGUAUUUCCUCACUUGAAAUGAUACCUAAGUGCUAAAUAAUAACUUUUUUAAGAUAGCUGGGGUAGAUCCACUGUCUGCUUUGUAUCCGUGUCUUACUCCAGGUGUGUGUAGUGUCCUCUGUUCUGACCAACGGUUUCACAGAUGGUUAAAACACAAAUUUUCCAAGAUACUUUUUGAAGUCAAAGCUACCUCUGUUAGCCAACGUGUUCUGUCUAGAACUAAAACUUCAUCAUGUUGUCGGUACAAGGGAAAAAAAAAAUGUUGUAAAGAGCUAAAAACCCCUUCAACGUGUUAAAACUGCUUGUGUUAUAGUUCACUGAGUUCUAUUUAGGAAUUGUAUGGUCUGAAGAGCUGAAUUGGAAAAUACUUAAUAGAGUUACUUCUUGGAGACCUGAAGGGGGAAUUGUGUGCUCUGCUUUCUCCUGUGGCCAGUGGCAGAUGUCUUCAGGACUUGGCCUGCAUUCUGGUUUCAAAGCUCUACCUCUGCAGAAGAGACAGCUCUGAAAAGGUUUCAGCAGAAGCUGUGUCCUGUUGUGUGUUCCUUCUCUGACCCAAGAAUGGCUUGUACUGAAAAUGCUCAAAGUGCUCUUUCUGUCUGUUUAAAAGGGACUGCAGCACAGAAGUGGGUUCUCUUUCUGUGAAAUAAGAAAAGAAACCUGUAAUUGUGUCAGGUAUCAAAGCAGACCUCUGCUGAUGGACCUGCUUGUGAAGCCGUCUGAGUUGGGGGAGUUCAUCCUUUGGUUUUCACUCUCCACCCCACAUCACUGGAAUUGGGAAGCUGCUUUGUAUGAAUGUGGGAAAAUCAGGUUGCAGGCAAUUAGCUAAACUUGGCGUUUAUCUGAAGCACAGCUGUAAGCAAAGAGUAAUCACCAAACUGGCUUAAAAAAAAUACUGCAGGGUGUAACACUUUGGAGAGCCCUUCAUUUAAAUCUAGAGUAAUGUAUAGCCUGGGUGACACUCAUUUUAGAGGGAAGAGAAUGAGAUUGGGAAUUUGGAGAACUUGGUUUUUUUCCACUGUGUAAAAUGAGAAUUUCAGGUGUUCUAAGGACUUCCAGUAAGAAAUACUGAAAGAGUGUUUAGUGGGAUAAUGUAACUGCUGCUUUGCAGUGAGGCUCUGCAGAGGGAGAGCGCGGUGGGGAUCUGCAUUGCACUUGUGUCCACGGGUUUCUUUGUGUUUCCCCAAGACCUAACAUUCCAUGGAAGAUACAAACCACGCUGGGGUUUUCCAGUUAAAAAUCAGCUUCAGAAAGGUACGACUGUUGAUCUAAGCCUGUGCUGUGUGGUGUGCCCUGCUUCUGCUGAGCCCUUCUGUGCCUCUCGCUUCCUCUGCAGCCUUGAUGUCAGUAGUGCCUGUACUUAUGGACUAUGCAACUUCGUUAUACAAACACCAAAGCAACCUGAGGAGGAUUCAGAACCCCUAGCAAGGGGAAUGACCUGUAGGAAGAGAAACCAGCCUGGAUUACAUUCUGUGGAGUAAAUGGGAGCUGGAAUUCCGCAGACUGUGAAGGCUGAGUGAGUAAAUUCAUCCAGUUUGGUGUGUUCUGGCUGGGGGCUGUGUGCUGGGUGCUGCUGGCUGGUCCCUACAACCAGGAGCUCGUCGUGGUUCAACCCACAGCACGGGCAGAGGCUGGCACGGCUCGGCACCUUGGAGGCCCUACGUGUGUCACAGGCUGACGUGUGUUUCUCUUAAUCAAGGUUUUGAGCUUCCCAUCUUCAAAAACUGUCUUUUGUACUUGGAAGACAUAUCUGGAUUUUCACGUUUUGCAGUCACUGUGUGCAUGGAAAGUUAAUUUGCAAGUGGCUGUGAACAUGGAUUUGGUUAUGGCAGUGUCUGCAGGCUCCUCAGCAACACGAUGCAGCUUGAAGGAACGGUUUAGAAGAGCAGGUGCUAACUCAGGACAGGUUCUGCUCAACCCUAUUUCCACUAGUCCUUUCUCUGAGCCUCUUGCCGCUUUUUGACCAUUUUGGAUGGUUUUCCUCACUUCUCUUGGGCCUGGCUGGUUGAAAGGCCCAGUUCACGUAGCCUCGUGUGCCUGAUGUAACGUGGCUUGUACUAUGAGGAAUGAUGUGAAAGACUAGUUUUUGGUUGGGAAAUUAGACACUCCUGGAAGAGCAUUACAGAUGUGCUUGUUAAGGUUUGUGCAUCUCAGACUGUAGUAACUUGAGACUAAACAGCUGUAGUUUGACUUACAAAUGAUUUGAAAACCUGCAUAAAAGGUCUUAAUGUUCUAUGUAAGCCUGUGCUUCAUGAAGCCAAGGCUUUCUGUUACCUCUUUAAUCUAGGUGUACGGUAAGUGCCGGUUGGCAGAUGCUGCAGCUGAAACCCCAGCAGCCUGUGUGCAGUUCCCUGCGUGGCUGGGGCUGGGAUCGCGGCCUCGGCUGUCGUGCUGAAUGGAAGCAUCUUAUAGAAAGGGAGCAAGCUGCCUUAUCUAAGCCAUAACCCAAUAUUCUGCUGUUUCACAAACAGAGAUACUCUGGUAACUAGGAUCAAUUGUACGAGUCUCAAAAACCAAGGUAUUUAUAGUCUAUAGCUGA
This is an RNA transcript of Calidris pugnax (ruff), 4312 nucleotides long. It is a transcript of the gene named chromosome unknown open reading frame, human C17orf62, with no coding region annotated. The record is from RefSeq and is a predicted model, not a curated record. The transcript has 9 exons. NCBI's taxonomy places the organism in Eukaryota, Metazoa, Chordata, Aves, Charadriiformes, Scolopacidae.